This 468-nucleotide ribosomal RNA is filed under the name uncultured bacterium. RNAcentral's name for it is "partial 16S ribosomal RNA". It matches the Rfam family "Bacterial small subunit ribosomal RNA", at positions 28 to 507 of the family's 1533-position model. The record is from RNAcentral.
GACGAACGCUGGCGGCGUGCUUAACACAUGCAAGUCGAACGGAAAGGCCCUGCUUUUGUGGGGUGCUCGAGUGGCGAACGGGUGAGUAACACGUGAGUAACCUGCCCUUGACUUUGGGAUAACUUCAGGAAACUGGGGCUAAUACCGGAUAGGAGCUCCUGCUGCAUGGGGGGGGUUGGAAAGUUUCGGCGGUUGGGGAUGGACUCGCGGCUUAUCCGCUUGUUGGUGGGGUAGUGGCUUACCAAGGCUUUGACGGGUAGCCGGCCUGAGAGGGUGACCGGCCACAUUGGGACUGAGAUACGGCCCAGACUCCUACGGGAGGCAGCAGUGGGGAAUAUUGCACAAUGGGCGGAAGCCUGAUGCAGAAACGCCGCGUGCGGGAUGACGGCCUUCGGGUUGUAAACCGCUUUCGACUGUGACGAAGAGUGCGUGACGGUAAUGGGUAAAGAAGCACCGGCUAACUACGUG